GAGGACGUGGGUUCGAUAAGGGUGCAAUAUGCGUUCCUAAUGGUGCCUCAGGGCGCUCAGAGAGCCAUCCGCUACGCCUAGUUUCUUACAGUUACGGGUUUCUUCUUUUCUGUCACGGCAGAGGUCGCGGGUUCGAGCCCCGUCGUCCCCGCCA
Molecule: transfer RNA, 154 nt
Filed under: Granulicella mallensis
Lineage: Bacteria; Pseudomonadati; Acidobacteriota; Terriglobia; Terriglobales; Acidobacteriaceae
Description: tRNA-OTHER
Source: RNAcentral